AUGACCUGGGCUCCUCUCCUCCUCACCCUCCUUGUUCACUACACAGUGUCUGUGGCCCAGGCAGGGCUGACUCAGCUGCCCUCAGUGUCCAAGGCCUUGGGACAGAUGGUCACACUGACCUGUACUGGGAACAGCAACAAUGUUGGCAACCAAGGAGCAGCUUGGCUUCAGCAGCACCCAGGCCAUGUCCCCAAACUCCUGAUGCAUAGGAAUAACAACCGGCCCUCUGGGAUCUCAGAGAGAUUUUCUGGCUCCAGGUCAGGGAGCAUGGCCUCCCUGACUAUCUCUGGGCUGCAGCCUGAGGACGAGGCUGACUAUUACUGCAUAGCAUGGGACAGCAGCCUAAAUGGCCAUCUGAUAUUUGAAGGUGAGUUAGAAGGUUCCCAGGAAACUAUUUUGACCUCAUGCCUUUCUGUGGAAUUGUUCCAUACUAACAGUCUCUGUUAUUUCCCUAAGGAAAGUGGGGAACAACAGCCCCUGGGAUCUGACCUGCCGGGGUAUGCCCAGCAGAACUGUGCAGCAGUAGGGGCUCAUUGUCUGACCACAGAUUCUGGAACAGGACCCAAGUUGAUUUAA
This is a non-coding RNA of Cynocephalus volans (Philippine flying lemur), 576 nucleotides long. Lineage: Eukaryota; Metazoa; Chordata; Mammalia; Dermoptera; Cynocephalidae. The record is from the annotation of a RefSeq genome assembly.